This 220-nucleotide long non-coding RNA is filed under the name Capsicum annuum. RNAcentral describes it as "long non-coding RNA (CANN_LNC022444)". The record is from RNAcentral. Lineage: Eukaryota; Viridiplantae; Streptophyta; Magnoliopsida; Solanales; Solanaceae.
UUUGCACAAAUGUGAAUGCUAUCUCUCUCGAGAACCCAGUGAUGAAGAUUUAGGGUAGGCAUGUUUAUUUUGGAGUGCAACAUGUUAAUGAGGUACAUGUACUUCUGGUUACUGACAUGGAAAAUUUUGAAACAAAGAUUCAUGAGCCAGGCACCUGGAUGGGUAAUAUUCUGUACCUAGAUAGAGAGGUUUCCUGGGCUACUACCAAGAAAGGGAUCAG